RNAcentral lists this transfer RNA (66 nucleotides) under Couchioplanes azureus. RNAcentral's name for it is "Couchioplanes caeruleus subsp. azureus tRNA-Arg". Lineage: Bacteria; Bacillati; Actinomycetota; Actinomycetes; Micromonosporales; Micromonosporaceae. The record is from RNAcentral.
GACCCGGUGGCGGAGACGGCCGGUCUUCCUCCGGCCGGUUCCGGGAUCAUCGCCCCGGCCGGGUCG